GAGUUUGAUCGUGGCUCAGAUUGAACGCUGGCGGCAUGCCUUACACAUGCAAGUCGAACGGCAGCAUGAUCUAGCUUGCUAGAUUGAUGGCGAGUGGCGAACGGGUGAGUAAUACAUCGGAACGUGCCCUGUAGUGGGGGAUAACUAGUCGAAAGAUUAGCUAAUACCGCAUACGACCUGAGGGUGGAAGUGGGGGACCGCAAGGCCUCAUGCUAUAGGAGCGGCCGAUGUCUGAUUAGCUAGUUGGUGGGGUAAAGGCCCACCAAGGCGACGAUCAGUAGCUGGUCUGAGAGGACGAUCAGCCACACUGGGACUGAGACACGGCCCAGACUCCUACGGGAGGCAGCAGUGGGGAAUUUUGGACAAUGGGCGAAAGCCUGAUCCAGCAAUGCCGCGUGUGUGAAGAAGGCCUCGGUGUAAG
Molecule: ribosomal RNA, 421 nt
Filed under: uncultured microorganism
Description: bacterial SSU rRNA
Rfam family: Bacterial small subunit ribosomal RNA
Source: RNAcentral